Molecule: ribosomal RNA, 464 nt
Filed under: uncultured Desulfocapsa sp.
Lineage: Bacteria; Pseudomonadati; Thermodesulfobacteriota; Desulfobulbia; Desulfobulbales; Desulfocapsaceae
Description: bacterial SSU rRNA
Rfam family: Bacterial small subunit ribosomal RNA
Source: RNAcentral
ACCCGCACAAGCGGUGGAGCAUGUGGUUUAAUUCGAAGAUACGCGAAGAACCUUACCCAGGCUUGACAUGGUACGAACCUUGUAGAAAUAUGAGGGUGCUCUUCGGAGAGCGUACACACAGGUGCUGCACGGCUGUCGUCAGCUCGUGUCGUGAGAUGUUGGGUUAAGUCCCGCAACGAGCGCAACCCUUGUCUUUAGUUGCCAUCAUUUAGUUGGGCACUCUAAAGAGACUGCCGGUGUCAAACCGGAGGAAGGUGGGGAUGACGUCAAGUCCUCAUGGCCUUUAUGACCAGGGCUACACACGUACUACAAUGGCCGGUACAAAGGGCAGCCACUUAGCGAUAAGGAGCCAAUCCCGUAAAGCCGGUCUCAGUCCGGAUUGGAGUCUGCAACUCGACUCCAUGAAGUUGGAAUCGCUAGUAAUCGCAGAUCAGCACGCUGCGGUGAAUACGUUCCCGGGCCUU